RNAcentral lists this ribosomal RNA (275 nucleotides) under uncultured soil bacterium. RNAcentral describes it as "partial 16S ribosomal RNA". It matches the Rfam family "Bacterial small subunit ribosomal RNA", at positions 26 to 285 of the family's 1533-position model. The record is from RNAcentral.
AGAAUCAACGCUGACGGCGUGCCUCAGACAUGCAAGUCGAACGCGAAAGUCCCCUUCGGGAGACGAGUAGAGUGGCGCACGGGUGAGUAACACGUAGGUAAUCUACCUUUGGAUGGGGAAUAACAAUCGGAAACGGUUGCUAAUACCGCAUAAUGCAGCGGCACCUAAUGGUGACAGUUGUUAAAGCGGGGGAUCGAAAGACCUCGCGUCUGAAGAGGAGCCUGCGGCGGAUUAGCUAGUUGGUAAGUAACGGCUUACCAAGGCGACGAUCCGUA